This 73-nucleotide transfer RNA is filed under the name Kitasatospora sp. Root107. RNAcentral's name for it is "tRNA-OTHER". It matches the Rfam family "tRNA". From Rfam's summary of the family: Transfer RNA (tRNA) molecules are approximately 80 nucleotides in length. Their secondary structure includes four short double-helical elements and three loops (D, anti-codon, and T loops). The record is from RNAcentral. Lineage: Bacteria; Bacillati; Actinomycetota; Actinomycetes; Kitasatosporales; Streptomycetaceae. RNAcentral also lists the same sequence under 1 other name.
CCGGGCGUAGCGCAGAGGCAGGCGCGCCACUACCGCAUGGUGGUCCACGCCGGUUCGAAUCCGGCCCCUUGGC